AUAAUAUAAAUUGUACAGAGCACGUGCAGAUAUCUCUUAUUGCUUCCAGACAACCAUAUGCAUGGUUCAACACUUGGACCCUGGAGAUAAUGAGCUCCCUGGCUGUUUCCUAUCAGGAGAUGACCCAGCACUGAAAUGACGUGGUGUUUUGAUGCGAUAUGUUGCAUUCACUGUAAUGGAAUGUCCCACUAAUUAUCAAUACCCAACCCUGCGUGAUGUAUUGAAACAGAAAAUAACAAUGUGUGUCACAGGGUCUGAAGGAAAAAUGCAAACUUGAUGCCAUGAACUCACAGGAAAUAGUCAUGGGUUGCUAAUGUGUGGUGCAUGGACCCCUGACAUCUACCCAAAGGUGCUAUGGAUUCCAGAUGAAGAACUAAUAUAGUAGAGGGGGAUACAAAUUUGAACAAAUGUUUGAGAGACAAAAUCAUACAAGGUCAUCUGGAAGCCUUAUGUAAGGAUGAAAAUUAAAAACAACAUAGAGAUGAACAAUGAAAGUAUAGAAACUUUUAUGAUGAACUUUUCUCUAUAGAUUACAGUGAAAAUGCUGCAAUUUAGAUUCUAACAUCAGGGUUGCCAAUAUGCUAUUAGGAAAUGAAAAGAGAAGCUGGACUGGUCGAAGUAUACACAGAAUAAGUUUGUGAUGGAGGAAGCAAAACACCUUUGUGACAAAAAGUAUUGAAGGAUACAUUCUCAAGAUAGAUGGGGAAAAAAGGGAUAAUAACAAAAGUUUUGGGAAAAGUCACAGAUCUCAUUUAAAAAUGUAAGAGAAGAUAUAAAUAGCUGCCAACCCAAAUACCUAUUUCCUGUCUUUAAAAAAAUAAUAAAAAUAUCUCCUU
Molecule: long non-coding RNA, 836 nt
Filed under: Monodelphis domestica (gray short-tailed opossum)
Lineage: Eukaryota; Metazoa; Chordata; Mammalia; Didelphimorphia; Didelphidae
Description: lncRNA (ENSMODG00000036939.1)
Source: RNAcentral